GUCGAAAACAAGCAAGAGGAAAUAAAAUGUAACACAUGCAAUGACGUGGGGCACGCCCCCGAAGAUUGCCCAACCAAACUGCGUCGAGGGACGCGGGGUGCCAGGAGAGGCCGCGGCGGACGGCGUGGUCGUCCCCAAUGGCGAGGUCGCGGAAUUUGGCGUGGAAGGGGGCGUGGCCAAGGGCGUGGCCAAGUUGUUAUCAAUAUAUUUACAAGGGACUAAGGAGGUUAGAAAGUCUUAACGAAAGAGGAAAAAAAAAGUUUAAAAAAAUCGCCAAAAAAAAUAAAAAUUUUUGAAAAAGUA
This is a long non-coding RNA of Xenia sp. Carnegie-2017, 303 nucleotides long. RefSeq lists it as uncharacterized. NCBI's taxonomy places the organism in Eukaryota, Metazoa, Cnidaria, Anthozoa, Malacalcyonacea, Xeniidae. The transcript is spliced from 3 exons. The record is from RefSeq and is a predicted model, not a curated record.